This 100-nucleotide small RNA is filed under the name Pan troglodytes (chimpanzee). RNAcentral's name for it is "processed transcript". Lineage: Eukaryota; Metazoa; Chordata; Mammalia; Primates; Hominidae. The record is from RNAcentral.
CGUGUUCCCUGCAUGUUCUUCUGGUAUGUUGGGGAGCUGAUUUCAGACUCAGAAGCCGACGUUCGAGAGGAAGAUUCUUACCUCUUUGAUCUCGACAAUA